CACGCAGGCGGUUUGUUAAGUCAUAUGUGAAAUCCCCGGGCUCAACCUGGGAACUGCAUCUGAUACUGGCAAGCUUGAGUCUCGUAGAGGGGGGUAGGAAUUCCAGGUGUAGCGGUGAAAUGCGUAGAGAUCUGGAGGAAUACCGGUGGCGAAGGCGGGCCCCCUCGGACGAAGACUGACGCUCAGGUGCGAAAGCGUGGGAGCAAACA
RNAcentral lists this ribosomal RNA (209 nucleotides) under uncultured bacterium. RNAcentral's name for it is "partial 16S ribosomal RNA". It matches the Rfam family "Bacterial small subunit ribosomal RNA", at positions 568 to 774 of the family's 1533-position model. The record is from RNAcentral.